GUCACGAGUCACGUGACCAAACCACGCCUCGGCACAGUGGCUCGAUACGUUUGCUUCAUGAGCUACAGCGCAUGUGUCGAAGCCUCGGGUAUCAGAGGACCAUCGCUAUCUCUGGCUGCUGUUGAUCUUGUUUUUGGAGUAAAACACGGUGGAAGCUGAAUUAGUGAGGAUGACUCCUGCUCCUGUCAUCUCUAAGCUCCUCACACAUCUUUACCUGCACAUGAGGAAAAUCACUCCUGUAGAAUGCAGAUGUUCAGAGGGAGAUGAUGCCACAUCUGGUCCAGCUGAUGGAAGGUCUUGAAGUUCUCUGACUGGCCUCGACUGAAGAUGGUCGUCUCACUGGAUUUAAGGUUCAGAUGCUCAGUAACAAACUCCACCAAUGAGCCAACAGGGAAGCUUUAGGUUUAUUAAAUGUUGCUAUGAAGGUUUCGCUGUUUUUCUUAGUGAAUGCAAUGUGCUCCAACUGAAACUUGAAUUAGAACUUAGAAGUAAAUCCUUCCAUCUGAAAGGAUUUAGUUGCAUUAAUAACCUCAUAACAUUCUAAUUUUUAUUCCAGUCUUGGUUGGAAAUAGAAUCUCUGUAUUGAUUCAGGUAAAAACUGAACUUCACAGCAUGUUGGAGCAAAACAACCAGAUGAAAACUGUGAUGGUGUUGGAUUGUCAGACUGUAAUGUUGCAGCUCAAAGCAGCUUUUCUGUCUCAGUUCAUUCUGACAUUCAGCUAUGAAUCAACACAGCAGAUGGUGAUCCAUGCUGUGGAAAUCUCACAUCUCCUGAUUUAAUGGAGCUGCUUUGCACUUUUUACACUGUUUAUUCACCAACACUUUAUUUAAUCAAAGUCCCAUCUAGUUUUUAUGAGGAAUGUGAUGUUUUAAUUUCUCUGUGAAUAACUGCAGUCUAAUGGAACAGCUGGAAUUGUAACAUCUGUCCUGAUAUUGAUCAUGAAGUAUUGAUCAGAAUACUUAUGGUCAGCAGUCAUCCCUGAAGUUUUACAUUAAAAUCUUUACUUGUGUUGUGAACUUUGGUAAGAAGCAGAAACUUUAGCGUUGCCAUGGAUACAUGAGUGUUAAAUUCUGUCCAUGUUUCCAUUUUGGGAAAUUCAGUCCAGUUCCAGAAUGUGGAGGAAUUUAGUCUCACAAUCACAGACAAUAAAUAUUAUGUGAAAGUCAGGUUAUUGUUGUUUAUCAGCACAAUACAAAAAGAUUAAUGUUAGAAAUAUUCCAGUUCAGACUCUAGAAUAUCAGGAUUUAUGUAAAUUUACCUCAAUAAUAUGAAUGUUCAGGUUAAGAUUGUGCAGUGAUAUUUAUUAUGUAAGUUUAGCUGAUUAAAGUUUAUGACUUUGCACUAAAAUAUUAUUUAAAUUGACAUCAUUAUUAUAAUAUUUAGGGUCAGACUCUACAGUAUUGAGAUUAAGAAAUCAAAUAUUCUAUAAAAUGUAAAUACACUGAACUCAUUUGGAGAUAUUUAAGUGAGACUCUACAAUAUUAUUUGACACAAAUCUAUCUAAAUCAAAAUUUUAAUCAUUUUUACUCCAAACAUUUACUGGACUGAUUUAAAUAUUAAAAUCACUCCUUUCUAAUCCUCUGCUGUAUGUUCAAACCUGAGGCCUUAAAUAGAAACACACAAGUAUCUGAUUGAAGGAACUUCUGCAGAGUCCUGGUUCCAGAACAUGAUGAUAGAAUUAUAGACAAACUUUAACAAAAGCUGCCUGAGAGUUUACAGGUUUUUAUGUUGGAUUUCUUCAGUAAUUUAAUGAGAGUUAUCAGCAAAAAUCAAGUGUUCAUUUGAUGAACUUCAUUUCCUAAAACAUCCAGAAUUGGAGCUCAUAUCUUUGGCAGCUGUAAAGUUUCUGCUCCUUCAAAGUUCACAACACAAUGAAUGAAUUCCUAAAACACUCUCAAUGCUGGAGAGCGUUUGUGAUGCUGAAGCAGUGAUCAGUUUUUCUGUUUCUUCUCUGGAGAUGCACAAUGAGGGACGUCUGCAGAGACUGAGAAAGAGUCUCACCACAUCCUGACAUGAGGAAAAAGACUUUAUUGAAGACUACAAUGAGAAAAACUAUCAGACAGCAGACGGCUGCAUUCAAGUCUGUAGCUGCUGAAUUCAUGGAUGAAUCAUCUGGCACUAGAGAGGAAGACCAUCAAACAUCCACAUCAGCUGAUGGAGGUCCAAGAGUCUCACCCAACAAACAACCUACAGAGUGAAGACCUCCAAUCUGAUUGGACGGCCUCCUAUUCAGCCACAUGUGUGAACAAAUGCCUCUAAGUUGAUUUGUUUUCUAAAAUAAAUCUAGUUUGAGUCCUAA
Amphiprion ocellaris (clown anemonefish) is the source of this 2300-nucleotide long non-coding RNA. RefSeq lists it as uncharacterized. NCBI's taxonomy places the organism in Eukaryota, Metazoa, Chordata, Actinopteri, Pomacentridae. The transcript has 4 exons. The record is from RefSeq and is a predicted model, not a curated record.